GCUGGGUCCUCCAUGGAGUUUGAGCUGGGCAUGGCUACUGAAGGCCUUGUGAGUGAAGCUGAGGGUGGAAUCCGAGAGUGGGAGGAGGAGGAGAAGGAGGAGGAGGCAGCAGAGAGGACACCCACGGGAGAAAAGUCUCCAAACUCUCCCGGGACUUUGCUGUCUCUGAGAGGGAAGGCCUGGACGGGGGGCCGCAUGGAAGUCAAGCUGGAGCUGCACCCCUUGCAGAACAGGUGGGCUCUGUGGUUCUUCAAGAAUGACCGCAGCCGGGCCUGGCAGGACAACCUGCACCUGGUCACCAAGGUGGACACUGUGGAGGACUUCUGGGCGCUAUACAGUCACAUCCAGCUGGCCAGCAAGCUCUCCUCUGGCUGUGACUAUGCCCUCUUCAAGGAUGGCAUCGAGCCCAUGUGGGAGGACAGCAGGAAUAAGCGGGGUGGCCGCUGGCUGGUCAGCCUGGCCAAGCAGCAGCGCCACAUUGAGCUGGACCGGCUGUGGCUGGAGACGGUGAGUUGGAGGAGGAGGGUCCUCAGGGGAAGAGACGGGCUGUGUGGGUCUCAUAGU
Molecule: small RNA, 564 nt
Filed under: Pan troglodytes (chimpanzee)
Lineage: Eukaryota; Metazoa; Chordata; Mammalia; Primates; Hominidae
Description: retained intron
Source: RNAcentral